This 4629-nucleotide long non-coding RNA is filed under the name Gossypium barbadense (sea-island cotton). RNAcentral's name for it is "long non-coding RNA (GBAR_LNC023105)". The record is from RNAcentral. Lineage: Eukaryota; Viridiplantae; Streptophyta; Magnoliopsida; Malvales; Malvaceae.
UGGUAUCUUACUUAUAUAAAUGUAGAAAGCUCUGCAUAUUAAGCACACAUAAACUUUUAUGAGUUCCCACGCUCAUGGCCGACUACUUCAAGGCCCAAAUUCUGGGGCGUUACAAGUCUAAUUGAGAUUGUAUCAUAUUGAGAUUAGAACUCAACUAUCUUUCUUUUUGCCAAAACACAAACACGCACGUGCACACAUAAGAACAUUCCAUAAUAUUCGACUAAUUGAGAAAAAAACCUUAGAUUACCUGGUCAAAUUUCUAAAAUGUAUUUUUUUAUAAAAAAAUUAACACAUUUUAUAAUUUAAGCAACAAGAAAUGUAGAAAGACAUUAUCUUUCUUAUAUAAAUGUAGAAAGCUCUACAUAUUACGGCAACAUGGUUAAUACUUUUUAUCUCCUUAUUUUACCUAACUUGGUUCGCCUUAACCAUGAUUUAUGAACUAGCUUUGCGUUGUCAUGAUCCCAAAGGUUUUGUGUCUUUGCUCGAUCCUAAAUCUAGUAACUGUGAUACAAUUAUGAUGUGUAAAUAUAAUAUAUUUAAUAUAAUUAAUAUAUAAUAUAAUAAGUGACAAAAAAAUAAUGCAAAUAGAAUAUUAUAUGAAAUAUAUUGAAAAUUAAUAUAAUAGAAUUAUUUUUUGAAAGAAAUAUAGAAUAAAUUACGAAGUUACAACAAUUUGAAUUAUUAUAUUUUACAAUAAACACAAUCAUUAUAUGUUAGGGAUUUAUAAAAAAUAUAUAUAACUACAGAUAUUAUCAUAUCUCACGAAUGCUACUAAUCGGCAAUAUAGUAUUCGAUGAGUAUUGGUGGUACUGCGAGUUCGAUUUGUCUUAAGUUUUUUUAAUCAACAUCUAAAACCUAUAUUAAACUAGUAUACAAUGAAGUACCGUCCAUAUUGGUCUUUAGAAUAUGUAAAUGUUGAGGGUUUAAUUUGUUAUUAUAUCAAUCAAAAUUAUGUAAAUUGAUGGAAAAUGUUAAUUUUAGUGGUUAAUACUUAAUUUUCCUUAGUUACUUAGCUUCAAAUUUAACAGGUAUUAAAUUGCCCAAUUUUUUUCAGAGGGAUCAAUUAGUUCAACAUCAACUUUAAUUUCUUUUUAUUCUCUUAUAAAUUGAGGAGUUUAAGCUUCACCUUUAGAAUAACUUAAUAAUGUAAGGGAACAUUGCAUGAAAUCAUGAAGAUGAAGCCUAAUUCUAGAAAAAAAAAAGAAGAGAAUCAUGAAAUUUCUUUUUCAAUGUUGUUCGUCUUUAUCGUUCUUAAAGAUCUUUUAAAUUUAUCUAAAUAAGUUUCUUAAUAAAUAAGCUUGAAAAAAAAAUUUAUUAUAUAUAUUACUCUAGACUGAAUAAAUAAUUUUCUUUUGUGUUUUUCAAAACAGUAGAUUCAUAAGUGGAUUCACUAGUCAAUUUAGAAUUCAGUUCCUUUUGGUUGAAAAAAUAAAAUAAACUAAUUAUAUAUAUUUUUAAAACAACUAUUCUAUUUUAUUUUAAAAUGUUUUAUUUAAAGGAUUUGUAUUAAUGUACGAUUGCAAUUUGAUUUUGGAUUAGUAUAUGAUUACUUUAAAUUAUUUAUUUUUUAAUACACAUUUGAACAAAUUAGUUUUUAAAUCAUUUGUGGAUUGAUCUGAAUUAUUUAAAUUAUUUCUUUAUAUCUUGACUUGAACGGAGGGUGGUUAAUAAUGCUUGUGUUAAACACUCGUUUGGCAUGAGUUUUGUAACACCCUAACUCGACCUGAAUCGUCGGGCUCAGAUCUUAGUUGUUAUUAAACACAAUACUUAAAUCAGUUGAACACUUUAAAUAUUACAUUUUAUUUAUUUCGUUAAUUGGAGGACCUAAAUUCCAAAAAUAAAGGAAAAUAUUUAAAAUAACUUGUUACCAUAGACUUAUCACGGCUUAUUACAAAGUAGAAGUUUGAUAAAAAUAUACACAUAAGGUGUAAUCCUACACUAUACCACAUUUCCACUGUUUGCAUAAUAACCCGAUACCACUCUUCCUUUCCUUAGUCCUGGCAUCGUCCCCUAGGCGCAGUAGAAUUGUCACAUUCCAAAAGUCGAGAGAGUAAAUUAGGGAUUAGUGAAUUGGAAAUCGUAAUUGGGAUAGUUAAUUAAAAUAAUUAGGAAUUAAUUAAACAAAAUUUUAAAAUAAAUAAAAUUUGUACUUUUAGGUUAAGAAAUUAAAAUUGACUGUGCGAGAAUUAAUUUGGUUAAAAUGGAUUUUAAAAACGAGAUUGGAUUUGAAAAUAAAUUUGAAAUUGGAUUUAAUUGAACAAUAUGGACCAAUUCGGAUAAAGGAGAAAAUCGGGGGGUUAAAUGGGUAAAGGAUAAAUUUUUUAAAAUUUGGUGCCUAUUUAACAAUCCCCGCGUCUUCUUCUUCCCUCCCAUUAUUCAUUCAAAAAUUUUCCAAACACCAAAUUAAAGUUUUUCUUUCGAAAUCAGUUCAUCCGUUUUUAUUCCUAAGCUCUGUAAACAGUAAAUUUAUUUUCAAUAUUGAGGAACACUCAUGUUAUCAUCCUUAAAAUCCUUAAGAGAGCCUCACACGUUUUAGCUCGCAUUAGGUCCAUAUAUCGUCAAUUUUUUAAAAUUUAGGUGAUAUUCUAACUUUUUAUUGAUUAAACUAAACUUUUUAUUCAUUAAACUAAGUGAGUUGUUAUUUCAAUUUGAUAUUUAAAUGAUUAAAUCAAGAUCUCAAUAUAUUAAUUGAUUUUAAGUUGAUUUCUUGCUUGAAAAUGGUAGAUCUCGUAUUUCUUGGCUAAGCUUCGGUUUUACAGUUAUUUCUAACUCAUUUUGAUAUAUUUAAGAGUUAUUUUAUCUUAAUUUAACAAAUCCUUAAUGAAUUUAAGCAAAUUGAAUGCUUUCCCUUAUUUAAUGAUCACUUAAGCUUGAUUUUUCUAAAAAUAUAUAUCAGUGUAAUUAUGUAAAAUUGAUGAUAUAUAUCAGUAAUUAGAUGAUAUAUAGGAUGUUUGGAAUCAAAAUUAAAGUUUAUGAAACUAGAUUUGAGUGGUGAUAUCGCAUUUUCGGUACACCUAGCUAGUUUUCGAUAGGUAUAAUACAUGUGAUGUGGUAUGCAGUUUUUAGAUGAUUUAGAUGUGUUUGAGGUUUUUUUUAAUGUGUUUGUAAUGUAAUUACAUUUAUAUUUCAUAUACAAAAAAAUUAUGAAUAAUUAAUAUAUUUUUAUAAUCUGAAAUAAUCUAACAUAAUUACAUUUAUAUUAAUUAUAUAUUAUCUACGUAUUAUUAUCGUCAAUUAUUUAUUUUUAAGAAAAAAAUAAAUAUUUAGUAAUGUAAGGUUUAAUUUAAAAUAUGUCAAUUUUUAUAUUUUUCAUAAAUAUUUCAAUAAAUAUUAUAAAUAUUUUAUUGGGAAUAUAUUUUAAUUAUUAAAAUAAUUUAUUUAUUUUAAUUAAGUUAAUUACUUAUUAUUUUGGACAAUGCUACUUUGUUUUAAUUACAUGAAGUAAAAGUAUAUUCCUCAAUGAAUAUGUUAUGAAUGCUUUAAUAUGCUAUCUUUUUUUAACAAUAUUCAACAAUGCCUAAAAUCACUUGCUUCACAUCGGCAUUAAAAAAUAAUUAUAUAUGAAGGUAGGGUUAAUAAUAAAAAUAUAUAAAUAUGUUUUUAUUUAUAAACAAAAAAAUUAAUAAUAAAAUAUUAUAUAUGAAGGUAGAGAUUUUGUUUCUUAUUGAAUGAUAUGCAACGUGUAAGAUAGGAAAGAUAUAGUCUAAUUGAGAUUGUAUCAUAUUGAGAUUAGAGCUCAACUGUCUUUCAUUUUGCCAAAACACAAGCACACACGUGCACACACAAACACAUUCCAUAAUAUUCGACUAAUUGAGAAAAAAAAACCUUAGAUUACCUGGUCCAAUUUCUAAAAUGUAAUUUUUUUAUAAAAAAUGUAACACAUUUUACAGUUUAAGCAACAAGAAAUUAAAAAAAGAAAAAAAGAAAAACAAUAUCACCUAAUUUGACGUAAUUUCUAAAAUAGGGUCUCAUUCUAAAACCCUAUAAAUAGGUGAUAACAAAAUUAUUCCAAUGAAACCAAAGACCAAUCAUGGGAGUCUCAAACAUGAAAACAUGGUUAAUUUGUUUGGCUCUGAUUGGCAUAGUGGUGAUGGAAGAGGUGAUCCAAAUUGAUGCAGCAAUGACAACCCACCAUCCAGAGGUCUCCGGUCUUGUUUCCUACCGUCGCCUUCUCCAAGAAGUUGUUAAUCCUUGGAAUCGUGGCUGCUCAAGACUCACUAGGUGUCGAAGUUAAUGUAUAUUUUGAUAAUAUGUGAUGGUAUCUUACUUAUAUAAAUGUAGAAAGCUCUGCAUAUUAAGCACACAUAAACUUUUAUGAGUUCCCACGCUCAUGGCCGACUACUUCAAGGCCCAAAUUCUGGGGCGUUACAAGUCUAAUUGAGAUUGUAUCAUAUUGAGAUUAGAACUCAACUAUCUUUCUUUUUGCCAAAACACAAACACGCACGUGCACACAUAAGAACAUUCCAUAAUAUUCGACUAAUUGAGAAAAAAACCUUAGAUUACCUGGUCAAAUUUCUAAAAUGUAUUUUUUUUAUAAAAAAAUUAACACAUUUUAUAAUUUAAGCAACAAGAAAUGUAGAAAGACAUUAUCUUUCUUAUAUAAAUGUAGAAAGCUCUACAUAUUACGGC